GGGCUCGUGGGGUAGCCAGGAUAUCCUAAUGGGCUUCGAAUACCCAUUGACUCGUGUUCGAAUCGCGGCGGGCCCG
Molecule: transfer RNA, 76 nt
Filed under: Methanosarcina thermophila
Lineage: Archaea; Methanobacteriati; Methanobacteriota; Methanomicrobia; Methanosarcinales; Methanosarcinaceae
Description: tRNA_Arg_TCG
Source: RNAcentral